UCAAAACUCAAUCUGUGAAAUUUCUGGGGAAAACCCUUUUGUGUCCUGAAGGGUUCAAACUCUGUUGAGGAUCCAGUUAUCAGUUGCUCACCUGGAUGGUUCCAGAUCCCAAAGGGAAAGACUCUCGUAUCCUUGUCUUCAGGCUCGGUGCUGUCCAAGAAGAUACAGAGACUAGAAAAAUCAUAAGAAGCAAAAUAUGACUGCAGGGAAAACAAGCUGGAGAGAACAAAAGACUCAUCACGGCGGGACAGCGUGGAGACUGAAAGUGUGAGAAGAUGUGGAGGGGAAGAGAGAAUCUGACGGGAGCAGCGAACGCACGAGUGCACGAAUUUUGCUUUUUGCUUGGAUGUAAACUCAGGAGUUGAAAGGAAUUUGGGAGUGAGAAGGGACAUUUCAGAAGGUGAAGAAGAAAAAGAGGUUGUUGUUGUUGUUACAGUCCUGGCAAAAUCUUUUGUUCUAGCUAAUAAAAGAAGUUAGUUUAAGAAAUAAAAAGAAAAAAAUGUAGUGUUUUUUUUUUUACUUGACUAUUAUAUUCAUUGGUGGUAUAUGGUGUGUUGUUUUAUUUCUUGGUAUUAUUAACUCUGUGUAAAUUGUUUUUUGAGUGAAGCUGACUUUCUGGAUGGGUUGGUUUGUAUUUGAGGCAGCAUUAAUUUCAAUAGGAUUGUUUCAUAGAUUUCUGAUGGGUAUUACUGGGAUUUUGG
Molecule: long non-coding RNA, 701 nt
Organism: Melozone crissalis (California towhee)
Lineage: Eukaryota; Metazoa; Chordata; Aves; Passeriformes; Passerellidae
Exons: 3
Source: RefSeq, a predicted model, not a curated record